GAGUCUGAUGCAGCUAUGCCGCGUGCGUGAUGAGGCCUUUGGGUUGUAAAGCUCUUUCUCACAGGAGAUGAAUGUAC
RNAcentral lists this ribosomal RNA (77 nucleotides) under uncultured bacterium. RNAcentral's name for it is "partial 16S ribosomal RNA". The record is from RNAcentral.